RNAcentral lists this ribosomal RNA (1449 nucleotides) under uncultured bacterium. RNAcentral's name for it is "bacterial SSU rRNA". It matches the Rfam family "Bacterial small subunit ribosomal RNA". The record is from RNAcentral.
AGGGUUUGAUCAUGGCUCAGGAUGAACGCUGGCGGCGUGCUUAACACAUGCAAGUCGAACGAACCUUCGGGUUAGUGGCGGACGGGUGAGUAACGCGUGGGAAUCUGCCCUCAGGAGGGGGAUAACGGCUGGAAACGGCCGCUAAUACCCCAUAUGCCGAGAGGUGAAAUGAAUUUCGCCUGAGGAUGAGCCCGCGUCUGAUUAGCUAGUUGGUGAGGUAAGAGCUCACCAAGGCAUCGAUCAGUAGCUGGUCUGAGAGGAUGAUCAGCCACACUGGGACUGAGACACGGCCCAGACUCCUACGGGAGGCAGCAGUGGGGAAUUUUCCGCAAUGGGCGAAAGCCUGACGGAGCAACGCCGCGUGAGGGAUGAAGGCCUCUGGGCUGUAAACCUCUUUUCUCAAGGAAGAAGAUCUGACGGUACUUGAGGAAUAAGCCACGGCUAAUUCCGUGCCAGCAGCCGCGGUAAUACGGGAGUGGCAAGCGUUAUCCGGAAUUAUUGGGCGUAAAGCGUCCGCAGGCGGCCCUUCAAGUCUGCUGUUAAAACGUGGAGCUUAACUCCAUCAUGGCAGUGGAAACUGUUGGGCUUGAGUGUGGUAGGGGCAGAGGGAAUUCCCGGUGUAGCGGUGAAAUGCGUAGAUAUCGGGAAGAACACCAGUGGCGAAGGCGCUCUGCUGGGCCAUAACUGACGCUCAUGGACGAAAGCCAGGGGAGCGAAAGGGAUUAGAUACCCCUGUAGUCCUGGCCGUAAACGAUGAACACUAGGUGUCGGGGGAAUCGACCCCCUCGGUGUCGUAGCCAACGCGUUAAGUGUUCCGCCUGGGGAGUACGCACGCAAGUGUGAAACUCAAAGGAAUUGACGGGGGCCCGCACAAGCGGUGGAGUAUGUGGUUUAAUUCGAUGCAACGCGAAGAACCUUACCAGGGUUUGACAUCCUGCGAAUCUUUUGGAAACGAGAGAGUGCCUUCGGGAGCGCAGUGACAGGUGGUGCAUGGCUGUCGUCAGCUCGUGUCGUGAGAUGUUGGGUUAAGUCCCGCAACGAGCGCAACCCACGUCUUUAGUUGCCAGCAUUUAGUUGGGCACUCUAGAGAGACCGCCGGUGAUAAACCGGAGGAAGGUGUGGAUGACGUCAAGUCAUCAUGCCCCUUACAUCCUGGGCUACACACGUACUACAAUGCUACGGACAAAGAGCAGCAAGUUCGCGAGGACAAGCAAAUCUCAUAAACCGUGGCUCAGUUCAGAUCGUAGGCUGCAACUCGCCUACGUGAAGGAGGAAUCGCUAGUAAUCGCAGGUCAGCAUACUGCGGUGAAUACGUUCCCGGGCCUUGUACACACCGCCCGUCACACCAUGGAAGUUGGCCACGCCCGAAGCCGUUACUCCAACCCUUGUGGAGGAGGACGUCGAAGGUGGGGCUGAUGACUGGGGUGAAGUCAUAACAAGGUAACCGUA